This 101-nucleotide non-coding RNA is filed under the name Catenibacterium sp. CAG:290. RNAcentral's name for it is "TPP riboswitch aptamer (THI element)". It matches the Rfam family "TPP riboswitch aptamer (THI element)". From Rfam's summary of the family: Vitamin B(1) in its active form thiamin pyrophosphate (TPP) is an essential coenzyme that is synthesised by coupling of pyrimidine and thiazole moieties in bacteria. The previously detected thiamin-regulatory element, thi box was extended, resulting in a new, highly conserved RNA secondary structure, the THI element, which is widely distributed in eubacteria and also occurs in some archaea. Analysis of operon structures identified a large number of new candidate thiamin-regulated genes, mostly transporters, in various prokaryotic organisms. RNAcentral also lists the same sequence under 1 other name. Lineage: Bacteria; Bacillati; Bacillota; Erysipelotrichia; Erysipelotrichales; Coprobacillaceae. The record is from Rfam by way of RNAcentral.
UAUAAUUGAAAUGGGAGCUAAUUUGCUGAGAGUAGACAUAAGUCUUGACCAUGAAACCUGAUUUGGAUAAUGCCAACGUAGGAAUUUUAUGAGCACCUUCU